This 484-nucleotide ribosomal RNA is filed under the name uncultured bacterium. Its description in RNAcentral is "partial 16S ribosomal RNA". It matches the Rfam family "Bacterial small subunit ribosomal RNA", at positions 30 to 507 of the family's 1533-position model. The record is from RNAcentral.
AUUGAACGCUGGCGGCAGGCCUAACACAUGCAAGUCGAGCGGAUGAAGGGAGCUUGCUCCUGGAUUCAGCGGCGGACGGGUGAGUAAUGCCUAGGAAUCUGCCUGGUAGUGGGGGAUAACGUCCGGAAACGGGCGCUAAUACCGCAUACGUCCUGAGGGAGAAAGUGGGGGAUCUUCGGACCUCACGCUAUCAGAUGAGCCUAGGUCGGAUUAGCUAGGUGGUGGGGUAACGGCCUACCAAGGCGACGAUCCGUAACUGGUCUGAGAGGAUGAUAAGUCACACUAGAACGGAGACACGGUCCAGACUCCUACGGGACGCAGCAGUGGGGUAUGUUGGACAAUGGGCGGAAGGCUGGUCCAGCCAUGCCGCGUGUGUGAAGAAGGGCUUCGGAUUGUAAUGCACUUUAAGUUGGGAGGAAGGGCAGUAAGUUAAUACCGUGCUGUUUUGACGUUACCAACAGAAUAAGCACCGGCUAACUUCGUG